ACCAGCAGCUCUUGUCUGGUCACCCACUGAAGCUAAGCAGGGUUGAGCCUGGUCAGUACCCGGAUGGGAGACCUCCUUGGAAAACUAGGUUGCUGCUGGAA
This is a ribosomal RNA of Sinocyclocheilus anshuiensis, 101 nucleotides long. Lineage: Eukaryota; Metazoa; Chordata; Actinopteri; Cypriniformes; Cyprinidae. The record is from Ensembl.